AUGCAUGACAGUUCGUAAGCAGACGAACCAUAUUGAUCGUGAGCAACCAUACGCAGUCUGGCUGCAUCCAGCUAGAUACUACUAGAACCCGAAACAUUGUUUUGACAAGUGCUCUAUAUUUCGGUUGCAGGUUUUCACUAAAUAAGAAUGCAGGAAGACAGGCUUUCCUACAAGCUACGACAGUUUUACCUACAAAUGUUUCGUGCUGCAACUAGUAGCUGAUUUCCUAGGAUCCUAUGCCUAAAAUUGGAAUUCAGUUAUCAGAGAUUAGCAAAAUUCAAGCACUUAAAAGCAAGUAUUGGACUUAUUUCCACAUUCAAAGUAAAAUAUAAUUUUGAGUUUUAGGUGUAAACUCUAGAUGGCGUUGAAGUGCGUCUAAAAUGAAGAUUGCGAGUGAUAUGUAAUAGGUGUUUGUUACGUUACCUGUUUAGUUUUUCAAAGGAUAUUUCGUCAAAAAAUUUACGGUAUGCCAGAAGCCUGCAUUCCUGCUAUCAAUGUAAAACAAGGAAUCCUGACACUUUAAGAAGGCCAGUAUUCCUUACAGGAAGAUCACCAUCCAGUUCAAUCAAUGACAGAGUCUUCAUCUAUUUUACAUUGCCAGCCAACAGCCCUCUGCAUCCCAGAUAUCUAGAUUUCCAAGCUUCGCUGAUUAGCCAACCAUCAUCCAUACACUUCAGCUCUUCAUUGUGGUUUCUCUUCCUCUCUUCUUAAUCUGCCGAAAGCCAACAUGAAAUAAGGUUCAUCUUCAUUGGAUUACCAUGAAACUUGUCAUUGUUAAUCCUGCUGUUCUUCUCACCAUUACUUAGCCAGCUAACAUGGAUAGGCGUUAACACCAUCUCCAUUUUUUGGACUGCAAAUAUUCAUCUUCCUUUGGUACAACACUGCUGUUUCGACAAUUUCGCUAGUUUCGCCCCCCAGUGCACCACACGCAACUACAUUUUUUUCGUCUUCCUGUCGUGGUUGUCUACGCCUUCACCUCAUCGCUGUCUUCGUUGACGGGUUCGCCUUCAUCUCCGUCUCGUCGUCGUCUUGGCCGUCUUUUUCUACGCCAUCACCUCGUUGCCGGCUUCGCCUUCGCUUUUCACGUAGAGUUCACCGUGGAUCGUCGCCCUGGUAUUGUUUUAUUUUGCAUUGUAAUGUUUAAGUUAACCCGUUGGCUGCCACCCCGUUUGCGUCCCAUUUUUUUUUAGCUUGUAGGGACCGGCCGCAAUGGCCUUCGCCGCAAGGCGCCUUAGGCAA
RNAcentral lists this long non-coding RNA (1239 nucleotides) under Daphnia magna. Its description in RNAcentral is "uncharacterized LOC116929217, transcript variant X5". The record is from RNAcentral. Lineage: Eukaryota; Metazoa; Arthropoda; Branchiopoda; Diplostraca; Daphniidae.